RNAcentral lists this ribosomal RNA (253 nucleotides) under uncultured bacterium. RNAcentral's name for it is "partial 16S ribosomal RNA". It matches the Rfam family "Bacterial small subunit ribosomal RNA", at positions 524 to 776 of the family's 1533-position model. The record is from RNAcentral.
GACAGAGGAGCCAAGCGUUGUCCGGAUUGACUGGGCGUAAAGCGCACGCAGGCGGUCGUGCACGUGGGGUGUGAAAACUGGCGGCUCAACUGCCAGAGGCCACCUCAUACGGCGCGACUCGAGCCCGUGAGAGGUCCAUGGAAUUGCCGGUGUAGUGGUGAAAUGCGUAGAGAUCGGCAGGAACACCCAGGGAGAAAUCAGUGGACUGGCACGGUGCUGACGCUCAGGUGCGAAAGCGUGGGGAGCGAACCGG